This is a long non-coding RNA of Anguilla anguilla (European eel), 662 nucleotides long. RefSeq lists it as uncharacterized. NCBI's taxonomy places the organism in Eukaryota, Metazoa, Chordata, Actinopteri, Anguilliformes, Anguillidae. The record is from RefSeq and is a predicted model, not a curated record. The transcript is spliced from 3 exons.
UAUAGAAGAUCUCCCGGUGUAUUGACCACCCACCUUCCUCAUCACAGCAGGUUUGUAAUUUGUGUAACGAUUAGUUGCAUUUAAUUGUGGUAAGAUAUCAAGUAUAGCCUAUAGGCCUAUAGUAGAUAGAUCAGAAGGGGACUUAGGUUGUCAUUGUUAUUAGAGGACAACAGUUGUUGCAGCGUACUGCGCCAGUUUUUUUCUGUUUUUUUUCUAGAGUCGGCUGGUCAUUCACCAGGCCUACCAUUGGAGCAGGACUACAGUUGGUGCAGAAAGGGUUCCAGUUCUGCCCUCUACAGUUCGGUAGAGGCGUGGUACAGGGCAGUUCAGGAGUUAUUGGAGAAGGACUACAUUUGGUGCAGAAAGAGUGUUCCAGUUCUGCCCUCAAAAGUUCGGUAGAGGCGUGGUUACAGUGAUAACAUCAUGCCACGCCGAGGGAAGAGAUCUGAGGCUGCAAAGCAACGCUGGGCUAAGUUGGACCUUUCAGACCCUCGGUUUCAGAGUCCAGAACUACAAAGUAGCGUUGCAGUCAUGGAGGUAUGUGACAGGGAGUGUAAACAGGAGGUGUGUUGUCUACCGGUGGUGUCAUCCCCAUGCACAGCUCAGUAUUAUGCACAACCUGAGGUUCAAGAGGUCAACAGCAAUGUGCAGGUCAUAGACCU